UACGUAGGGUGCAAGCGUUAAUCGGAAUUACUGGGCGUAAAGCGUGCGCAGGCGGUUGUGUAAAACAGAUGUGAAAUCCCCGGGCUCAACCUGGGAACUGCAUUUGUGACUGCACGGCUGGAGUGCGGCAGAGGGGGAUGGAAUUCCGCGUGUAGCAGUGAAAUGCGUAGAUAUGCGGAGGAACACCGAUGGCGAAGGCAAUCCCCUGGGCCUGCACUGACGCUCAUGCACGAAAGCGUGGGGAGCAAACAGG
This 253-nucleotide ribosomal RNA is filed under the name uncultured bacterium. Its description in RNAcentral is "partial 16S ribosomal RNA". It matches the Rfam family "Bacterial small subunit ribosomal RNA", at positions 524 to 776 of the family's 1533-position model. The record is from RNAcentral.